Molecule: ribosomal RNA, 514 nt
Filed under: uncultured bacterium
Lineage: Bacteria
Description: partial 16S ribosomal RNA
Rfam family: Bacterial small subunit ribosomal RNA
Source: RNAcentral
GACGAACGCUGGCGGCGUGCCUAAUACAUGCAAGUCGAGCGGACUUUCAAGAAGCUUGCUUUUUGAAAGUUAGCGGCGGACGGUGAGUAACACGUGGGCAACCUGCCUGUAAGACGGGGAUAACUCCGGGAAACCGGGGCUAAUACCGGAUAAUAUCUUUCUUCGCAUGAAGGAAGGUUGAAAGGCGGCGCAAGCUGCCGCUUGCAGAUGGGCCCGCGGCGCAUUAGCUAGUUGGUGAGGUAACGGCUCACCAAGGCGACGAUGCGUAGCCGACCUGAGAGGGUGAUCGGCCACACUGGGACUGAGACACGGCCCAGACUCCUACGGGAGGCAGCAGUAGGGAAUCUUCCGCAAUGGACGAAAGUCUGACGGAGCAACGCCGCGUGAGCGAAGAAGGUCUUCGGAUCGUAAAGCUCUGUUGUCAGGGAAGAACAAGUACCGUUCGAAUAGGGCGGUACCUUGACGGUACCUGACCAGAAAGCCACGGCUAACUACGUGCCAGCAACCGCCGUAA